GCAGAUGUCGUAUAGCUGGCUAAUACACUGGCUUGCCAAGUCAGAAAUGCGGAUUCGAGUUCCGUCAUCUGCU
Molecule: transfer RNA, 73 nt
Filed under: Lachnospiraceae bacterium
Lineage: Bacteria; Bacillati; Bacillota; Clostridia; Lachnospirales; Lachnospiraceae
Description: tRNA-Gly
Rfam family: tRNA
About the family: Transfer RNA (tRNA) molecules are approximately 80 nucleotides in length.
Source: RNAcentral